GGGUAUUCAGGCAUAUUUAACUUCACAUACGAAAGCAAAUUAUAUAUCAACAUUUAAUCAUGAUGCAUUAUAUGUGUAGAUAUGGCCAAUUGAAAGUAUAAACAAUAGAGAUACGCAAACCUGUUUGCCAAUUCAAGGUUGAAGGAUUGACCACUUGUGGUAUCGGAAUGAGUUAGGCGGCGGGAAUUGGGCGGCGAUGGCUUCGGGGCGGAUGAGCUGCCUUCAGGGUUUCUUUAUUCUGAAUUCUCCGGGUUGGCAGGGUUCCUAUGCCAAAGUUUCUAUCCGUCCUUCUCUGUUCUCUCUCUUUCUUUUUCCUCAAGGUUUUGUUCCAAGGAAACCUCAGAGUGUUUUGCUUCUCUUCCUUCUUUCUCCAGUGAAU
This 379-nucleotide long non-coding RNA is filed under the name Lathyrus oleraceus (garden pea). RNAcentral describes it as "Pisum sativum (pea) long non-coding RNA (PSAT_LNC004844)". Lineage: Eukaryota; Viridiplantae; Streptophyta; Magnoliopsida; Fabales; Fabaceae. The record is from RNAcentral.